GACGAACGCUGGCGGCGUGCCUAAUACAUGCAAGUCGAGCGAGCUGAAUUCACUGAUCUCUUCGGAGUGACGUGUUGGACGCUAGCGGCGGAUGGGUGAGUAACACGUGGGCAAUCUGCCCUAAAGACUGGGAUACCACUUGGAAACAGGUGCUAAUACCGGAUAACAAUGAUGGUUGCAUGACCAUUAUUUGAAAGGCGGCGCAAGCUGUCACUUUAGGAUGAGCCCGCGGUGCAUUAGCUAGUUGGUGAGGUAACGGCUCACCAAGGCCAUGAUGCAUAGCCGAGUUGAGAGACUGAUCGGCCACAUUGGGACUGAGACACGGCCCAAACUCCUACGGGAGGCAGCAGUAGGGAAUCUUCCACAAUGGACGCAAGUCUGAUGGAGCAACGCCGCGUGAGUGAAGAAGGUUUUCGGAUCGUAAAGCUCUGUUGUUGGUGAAGAAGGAUGUGAGUAGUAACUGGC
RNAcentral lists this ribosomal RNA (465 nucleotides) under uncultured bacterium. RNAcentral's name for it is "bacterial SSU rRNA". It matches the Rfam family "Bacterial small subunit ribosomal RNA", at positions 28 to 473 of the family's 1533-position model. The record is from RNAcentral.